CACGUAGUUAGCCGGGGCUUUCUCGUGAGGUACCGUCACCGCGCCGCCCUCUUCGAACGGCACUCCUUCGUCCCUCACAACAGAGCUUUACGACCCGAAGGCCUUCUUCGCUCACGCGGCGUCGCUCCGUCAGGCUUUCGCCCAUUGCGGAAGAUUCCCUACUGCUGCCUCCCGUAGGAGUCUGGGCCGUGUCUCAGUCCCAGUGUGGCCGGUCACCCUCUCAGGCCGGCUACGCAUCGUCGCCUUGGUGAGCCGUUACCUCACCAACUAGCUAAUGCGCCGCGGGCCCAUCCGCAAGUGACAGCCCAAAGGCCGCCUUUCAACCGAAGACCAUGCGGUCUUCGGUGUUAUCCGGUAUUAGCUCCGGUUUCCCGGAGUUAUCCCGGUCUUGCGGGCAGGUUGCCCACGUGUUACUCACCCGUCCGCCGCUGACCGAAUCAAGGCAAGCCCCAAUCCGGUCCGCUCGACUUGCAUGUAUUAGGCACGCCGCCAGCGUUCGUCCUGAGCCAGGAUCAAACUCU
This 521-nucleotide ribosomal RNA is filed under the name uncultured Geobacillus sp. RNAcentral describes it as "partial 16S ribosomal RNA". Lineage: Bacteria; Bacillati; Bacillota; Bacilli; Caryophanales; Anoxybacillaceae. The record is from RNAcentral.